This is a non-coding RNA of Macaca mulatta (Rhesus monkey), 2063 nucleotides long. Lineage: Eukaryota; Metazoa; Chordata; Mammalia; Primates; Cercopithecidae. The record is from RefSeq and is a predicted model, not a curated record.
CAGAACAAACAAACAAAAAACAGAAAGGAAGACUGAAAGAGAAUGAAAAGCUGGGGAGAGGAACUAAAAAUAAAGAAGGAAGAGUGUUUCAUUUAUAUCUGAAUGAAAAUAUGAAUUACUGUAAGUAAUAGAAUUAAUAAAAAUGAGCCAACUUUUUUUUUAACAAUUUACUUUUUAUUUCUAUGAAAAAAAUAAAUAUUCCUCUUCUAACAAACCCAUGCCUUAUUUUCAUUAAUUGAAUUCCAAAUCAUCCUAGCCAUGUGUCCUUCAAUUUAGGUUACUGGUGCAAAUCAGUAAGAAGGUUCUUAUACUCAUGCUCCAAAUAAUUCUGAAGUCCUCUUAGUAGCUGUGAAAGCUAGUGCUAUUAAGAAAGAAAAACAAAAUUCCCAAAAGAUAGCUUUCGUGUUUUUUUCUUCCUUAAAGACUUCUUAAUCCUCUUCUCCAAAUUCUUAGUCUUCUUCAAAAUAAUAUGCUUUGGUUCAAUAGUUAUCCACAUUCUGACAGUCUAAUUUAGUUUUAAUAAGAAUUAUACUCAUCUUUUGGGUAGUCAUAGAUAUUAAGAAAGCAAGAGUUUCUUAUGUCCAGUUAUGGAAUAUUUUCUAAAGCCAAGCUGCAAGUGAAGUUGUGCUCAAGUGAAUGAAUGUUCAGGAGACACAAUUCAGUGGAAGAAAUUAACUCUUUAAAAAAGACCUAGGAAUAGGAGAACCAUGGAAAUUGAGGAGUAGGCCUGCAAGUAGAUACUGGGAACAAAAUUAGAGAGGCAACCAGAAAAAGUCAUUUUAGGCUCAUCAGUGUUGUGCCUGUUGCAGAGUAACACACCAAUACACCAAAACAGCAGGUGUUGCAGUAGAGAAAGAGUUUAAUAAUUUAAUGGCAGCAAAUUGAGGAAGGUUGAGGAAACCUCAAAUCUACCUCCCUGCUGGGUCUCAGUUUAGGGUUUUUAAGAGAAAGGCAGGUAAGGGGGUGAAGGUCUGGAGCUGCUGAUUGGUUGGGGAAUAGGGAAUGAAAUGAAACAUACAGAGAUGAAAACUGGAUUCUUUUUUUUUUUUUUUUUUUGCUGAGGUAGUUCCAUGGAGAGGGUCAUCAGACUGACUGGUGUCAGCAGACCCAUGGGAUUCCAGGAUCUGGAAAAAGUUUUAGAAAGAAACUUGAUGUUUCUUAAUGUUACAUAUAUUAUCUUAUAGAAAUAACUAAGGGAAGUUAGUGCCUUGUGACCACGUCUAUGUGACUUUUAGGCAGAAAGAAACUAUAAGGAAAGGAGCUAACAGUCAUGCUAUAAGUAGCAGUAAGGAAUUGGCUUAAAGGGCAAGCUGGUUAGUACUUAGCUGUGCUUUUAUUCAAAGUCUACCUUUUAUUUAGUGGUUAAUGUUUGCUGUUCAUUAGGAUGGUUUCACAGUUACCAUACAAAUGUGGAAGCAACGGGUCCAAAAAGUAGGGCAUGAUUUUCUCCAUGUAAUCCAGGGAAAAACCAAGCCUUGGCCAUUGUUGGUUGGGAGACUGAAGGUGAUUGAAGGCUAACCAUCAUCCUCACCAACUUUUGGAUCAUAAUUCACCCAUUCCUUUGGUGGAGCCUGAAAAAAAUCUGGGCAGAAUGUAAGACUUUUUAUUUUGUUUAAAGGGGUAACAGAGUGUGCCCUUAUGAAGGAGAUGGAGACCCUGCAAGGAAGAGAAGGAGUAAAGGAGAGAUCAAGAAAGAGAAACAAUGAGGAACAUUUAAUUUGACCCAACAUCCUUUAGGAGCAUAAAUGUUGACACUAAGUUCUCCUUUUUGUGCUAAAAUGGACAGUAUUAGCAAAAUGACUACGUGCAUAACAAUGACACCACAGCUUCUUAUCCUCUGGCUCUAUACUGCUUUGGAAACACUUAAACAUCAAAUGGAGUUAAAUACAUAUUUGAAAUUUAGGUUAGGAAAUAUUGGUGAGGAGGCCUCAAAAAGGGGGAGACAUCUUUUGUCUGGGAGGAUAUUUUCCAUUUUGUGGAUUUCCCUGAUCUUUCUCUACCAACCUGAGUGGUAGUGGGAAUUAUCGUUUUGCUACAUUUUAGAGGUCAUCCAGGAUUUUUGA